UAGUAACGGCGAGUGAAGCGGCAACAGCUCAAAUUUGAAAGCUGGCCUUCGGGUCCGCGUUGUAAUUUGCAGAGGAAGCUUUGGGCGCGGCGCUGUCUGAGUCCCCUGGAACGGGGCGCCAAAGAGGGUGAGAGCCCCGUAUAGACGGAUGCCUAGCCUGUGUAAAGCUCCUUCGACGAGUCGAGUAGUUUGGGAAUGCUGCUCAAAAUGGGAGGUAAAUUUCUUCUAAAGCUAAAUACCGGCCAGAGACCGAUAGCGCACAAGUAGAGUGAUCGAAAGAUGAAAAGCACUUUGAAAAGAGGGUUAAAUAGCACGUGAAAUUGUUGAAAGGGAAGCGCUUGUGACCAGACUUGCGCCGGGCUGAUCAUCCGGUGUUCUCACCGGUGCACUCUGCCCGGCUCAGGCCAGCAUCGGUUCUCGCGGGGGGAUAAAGGCUUAGGGAAUGUAGCUCCUCCGGGAGUGUUAUAGCCCUCUGCGUAAUACCCUCGCGGGGACCGAGGUCUGCGCUCU
Molecule: ribosomal RNA, 510 nt
Filed under: Mycothermus thermophilus
Lineage: Eukaryota; Fungi; Ascomycota; Sordariomycetes; Sordariales; Chaetomiaceae
Description: eukaryotic LSU rRNA
Rfam family: Eukaryotic large subunit ribosomal RNA
Source: RNAcentral